AUCAUUUUCUUAGGUGAAGCUAUGGUUAUCAAAUGAUUAACCUUCAGGAUCCCAGUCCACGAAUGUCAUGGAAUUUAUUAAAUUCCCAAUUAAGUCCCGUAUACACGAAUGUCAUGGAAUUGUAAAACAUUCCCCAAAUCCCAAUUCCACGAAUGUCAUGGAAUUUUGAAAUUUGGUCAUGUGUCCCAGAUACACGGAUGUCAUGGACAUUCGAAAAAAUCCCUUGAGUCCCGUAUACACAAUUAUGUGUAUUCUCAAAAAAUAAAUAAAUUUAGCGACUAUGGAAAUUGAAGGGUUUCGGAGCUAACUUUGCCUUUUAGUCCGAGUCAGGGCUUAUGCAACCAUCCGUCUGUCCGUCCAGUCUCACUAUAACUCUCGUUAAACUGGUCCUAUCGACUUGAAAUUUGGUACACGUGUAGUAUGGGGCAAAUGAAGAGUUAACUUCGAAGAUGAGAAAAAUCGGUCAAGAGGUUGACAAGUGGGGUCGGGUCAUAGAAAUGGUCAUAGAAAGCUUAUAUUCGGGACAUUUGUGUACUAAAAUCAAAAUACAAUGUCAUAACGACGAUAUUAUUAUUCAGAGUGACCCAAUAUGGUCGCACUCUCUGAUUUUCGAAAAUGGUCGUAAACGACUAAAAUUUGACGUGAUCCUAUUUUCUCUCGUCGAGUAGUAAUUAAUUACAUACCCAAGUAAUUAUGCAAUAUUACAAUGCAGGGACUGCAUUAUACAUAUAAUAUGCAUGCAAUAGUACAAUUUCAUAUAAUCGGAUCCGAUCCGAUCCGAUCCGAAAGCCGACCAGCAAUCCUAGUCGGAUCGGAUUGAGUGUCUGAUCCGAAUCGGAUUGAUCCGAACACCUGCUCAAUCCGACUCGGAUCAAUCCGAAGGCCUCAUAAUCCGAUCCGAUCCGACGGAUUGCCAUUCCUAGAGAUGGUAUAACCAAAUUCGAAGCUCAUUUAAGCAAUUUAUAUUUAUUCUCUGUAUGCCUCAAGUAUCAUGUGUACCUGCUAACAAUGCGAUGGUGUGAAGUGCAACUCUCAGAUGGACCAUGGACCAUUUUUUUGAUGGACCAUGGACCAUUUUUUUGAUGGACCAUUGAUGGACCAUGGAGCAUUUUUUUGAUGGACCAUGGACCAUUUUUUUGAUGGACCAUUGAUGGACCAUGGAGCAUUUUUUUGAUGGACCAUGGACCAUUUUUUUGAUGGACCAUCGAUGGACCAUGGACCAGGGACCAAUUUUUUGAUGGACCAUGUAGUGAUCGACCAUGGACCAUGGACCAAUUUAUUGCGAGCUAUCCUUUGUAGCUUUACAUUUGAGCAAUAUGAAAUCCACAAUUUCUGGUUUUUCUCUAGUGUAAGGCCGGGUGCCUGACGGCGCCCCUCCCAGCUUUGCGCCCUAGGCAGGUGCCUAGGCUGCCUGACCCUUAAACGGGCCCUGUUCACACACACAGUUAUGCAUGUACUAGUGCAAUGAUGAAAAAAAAAAAAAUUUUUAAUUUCAAUAUUAUCCAUGUAUAUAUUUCUUUAAUUUUCACAAACAUUAAGGUCUAAAGAUUGUUUAAUACAAAUGUAGAGAUUUUCCAAACAUAUUUGUUAUGCCUAACCAAGUCUAAAGAGUUUGUGAAACUCGCUGAGAUUUGUAAUAAAUCAACUUGUUAAACGA
Long non-coding RNA from Folsomia candida, 1657 nucleotides. RefSeq lists it as uncharacterized. NCBI's taxonomy places the organism in Eukaryota, Metazoa, Arthropoda, Collembola, Entomobryomorpha, Isotomidae. The record is from RefSeq and is a predicted model, not a curated record. The transcript has 2 exons.